Camelus dromedarius (Arabian camel) is the source of this 2534-nucleotide RNA transcript. RefSeq lists it as uncharacterized. The transcript is spliced from 5 exons. The record is from RefSeq and is a predicted model, not a curated record. Lineage: Eukaryota; Metazoa; Chordata; Mammalia; Artiodactyla; Camelidae.
CCCCGGCUCCUGGGCCCCGGCCUCUGGGCCCCGCCGGCCCAGGGUUGUGGGCGACCGGACUGAGGCGAGCUCCCUGUCCGCUCUCAACACCUGAGGAAACUGGCAGAAAAGUUUGAGAACGAAAAGUCCAAUCGUCUUUCAGCUUCCGCCCUCCCUGUGACACUCCAGCCACGGUAAAGGAGACCCAGUGAUGAGUAAAGAUGGCUCAAGCUGCUCAGAGCCGAGUGGUGGGCCUGGAGCCCUGCAGAAGCACUGGCAGAAGGAGGAAGAAAUGUGUCUUGGCUGGAGGCCCACGUUUCGUUCCAGCACAUCCUUUUUACCAAAAGAGCCAUCCCUGGAGCUGCCAACAGUGUUUACAAAAGAGCCGGCCAACAAUACUUUGGAUCUGGGAGCAUGGCCUGACCACAGACAUGGCCUUCCCCAACCCGAGAACCAUCCAUCGGAGAGCCUGACACAUGGUUGCGGUGCUUGGAUGACGAUGCAAAGAAAUGUCAGGAGAGGAAACAUGAGAUGGAGCCAGAAGCAAGGUCUUUGCUCAGCUUGUGCGCUGUGCGUCCUACCAUACUUGAUGGACGUGGGUAUUUGGUCCUCUGCGGCCACUGCAGACCGUCAGUCUGUGGGCAACAAGGAUUUACAAAGAGCAAGCCCACUCUUGAAAGAAGUGAAGAUGAGCCCUGAAGACAACCAGGGCAUGGAAUACAUCCUUGAACAGAUUCUACCUGUGGUUCAAAUGGCUGUGAAUGGGCACUCGAACCGGCUGUAACAGAGAGGGGGUCAAGUGUUGACUCAAGGGAAGCAUAAUUCAGAGACUUCAGGGUCUUGGACGCUUGGGCUUUCCUAUUGGUGGAGUUGGAAAGAGUUUUCAACCAAAGAUAGGCAUUCAAUUUUUUUGAUCUGCAAGGCCAUGAAAUUACAGAAACCAGGGUAAAGAACUGAGGGAUCAGUUUUAACAGGUUCUGUCACCAUUUUGUGGACAUACUAUUCAGACAGAGAGGAUGCAGGGCUGACGAGGGCGUAGUUAGAGGUAGGGUACCUCUUAGGUUUGCUAGCAUAUUUCUGUUAGAUGGGUACAGACUUCCAUGUGAACCUAAUUGGCCUCUCUGAACUGGUUUUAUUCACACUCCACAAAACGUGUGGCUUUUUUUGUUAAGUUUUUCCCCCGACACCAACCAAUGCUUCAAUUCCCUGGACAUCAACUGAGACAUCACCUACAAUUCAAUUUAAUCUGACACUAACUACCCAGAUUAAGGGCUCCAUCUUAUAAGACUGCUUCCAUGCCAGUCACAGGUCUCAGAUUGACACGUGUACUUCUGACCAACUGGCUAUAAAAUCUGGGGUUCCCAGGACUCCCUCUUCAGGUUUGAUAAUUUGCCAAAACACAUCACAAACCUUAGGAAAACAUUUAACUGAUGUUUACUGGUCUAAUAGAAAGGAUAUUAUGAAAGAUACAAAUGAACAGCCAAAUGAAGAGGUACACAGGGCGAGAUCCAGAAGGGCCCUUAGCGCUGGAGCUUCUGUCCUGCAGAAGUGGGGUGUGCCACUUUCCCAGCACAAGGGUGCAUUCAUCAACCUAGAAACUCUUUAAACACUUGCUUUAUGUAGGCAUGAUGGGUUAAAUCAUUGGCCAUUGGUGAUUGGACUCAAUCUCUAGCCCUUCUCCCCUCCCCAGAAGUUAGGGGAGGGGACUGAAAGUUCCAAGUUUCUCAUUAAGGCUUGGUCUUUCUAAUGAACAACCUCCAUCCUGAAGCUAUCCAGGGGCCCCCAGAACCAGUCAUCUCAUUAGCAUGCGAAAGACACUCAUUACGCUGAGGUUUUCAAGGGUUUUAUUUUAGGAGAUGUAUGCCAGGAAUCUAGGACAGAGACCAAAUAUUUAUUUUUUAUUAUAUCACAGCUUCGCUGGCCAAGGGACCAGGAAAAGUGAGGCUGAAGUAGGGAGACACUUGGGGAAGAUACCAUCUGCAUCUGAACACAGGGUCACAGGCUAGGCUGUGCUGUUAGGGUCGGAUUGUCACACCCAUGUCCUCACCGUCUUUUGCCAUCAGUGCCCACCAUCUGGCGUGUGCCAAGCAUUUUCUGGGGGUAGUGUGAUGGAUACGUAGGUCACCUGGACAUUUUUUACAUCUCCAAGGAGCUCACAAUAUCAGAGGAAAUGCAUGUAAGCAACUGUCCGUAAUGCAUUGUGGAAAGCCACAUUCAGAGGCUUGGGAAAGUGCUACAGGGACACAGAGGAGAGAGCCAUUAGCUACGGGGACACAGAGGAGAGAGCCAUUAAUUAUGCCUAGAGGUUUGGGUAAGUUGUCGCAGGGGACGUCGCAUUGUCAGCUGGGCUGUGAAAGAUAAGCAGGGAUGUUAUCAAUGGAGACGAAGGAAGUAUAUUCCAGGUAGCGGAUACAACAUAAGUAGAGACAUUGAGUUGCAGGUGUUUAUUCAGGGAACAGUGAACUGAUCAGCAUGGUUAUAGCAUAGGGUGUCUAACCAGGAGCCAUCAGAAUGGCCAACACUAAUCAAACAUCUAUUAAAUGCCAGGGACUUUU